RNAcentral lists this ribosomal RNA (499 nucleotides) under uncultured bacterium. RNAcentral's name for it is "partial 16S ribosomal RNA". It matches the Rfam family "Bacterial small subunit ribosomal RNA", at positions 28 to 507 of the family's 1533-position model. The record is from RNAcentral.
GACGAACGCUGGCGGCGUGCCUAAUACAUGCAAGUCGAGCGAAGUUUUUCUGGUGCUUGCACUAGAAAAACUUAGCGGCGAACGGGUGAGUAACACGUAAAGAACCUGCCUCAUAGACUGGGACAACUAUUGGAAACGAUAGCUAAUACCGGAUAACAGUAUUUCUCGCAUGAGAGAUAUUUAAAAGUUGGUUAUGCUAACACUAUGAGAUGGCUUUGCGGUGCAUUAGCUAGUUGGUGGGGUAAAGGCCCACCAAGGCGACGAUGCAUAGCCGACCUGAGAGGGUGAUCGGCCACACUGGGACUGAGACACGGCCCAGACUCCUACGGGAGGCAGCAGUAGGGAAUCUUCCGCAAUGGGCGAAAGCCUGACGGAGCAACGCCGCGUGAGUGGGGAAGGAUUUCGGUUCGUAAAGCUCUGUUGUUAGGGAAGAAUGGAUAUGUAGUAACUAUACAUGUAAGAGACGGUACCUAACCAGAAAGCCACGGCUAACUACGUG